UAUUUUACUCGUAUGACUAUAUCUACCAUAACACAAAUAUCUCCCACUAUUAUAAAAUUGGGAAAAAAACCGAUGGGUUAAUUUUUGAAUAGAUUUAAAAUUAUAUUAAUUGUUUUAAUUAAAAAUAAAUAUCCAUCCAUAUCUUAUAUCUUAAUUAAGUAUCACUUAUAUAACUUUUGUACUAUAAACUUCAAUUCUUUUCUAACUAAAUAUGUCUUUAAUUUUUUCUCUAAAGUAAAUAAUUUUUCAAAUUAUUAAUGUAAUAAUGUUACCUUUUUUUUCAAAAUAUUACUAAUGUUAUAAGUUAUUUACUUUUAUAAAAAAUAAAAAGGGAAAUACGAGGACGAUGCCGGUCACGAGAAAAAGGAAAAGGAAAAUGAAAAACGGACGGUGUCGUCGAAGUAACGGACACCGUCAGAGGAAGGUAAUUGGUUAGGAAUUCGGUGACUGAUUGGACCAAAAACGGAGACGGCAAAAAAAUGGCCAGCUGGACCCAUUCGGCGGCGAUUCCUUGGCCCAUUCCCCCUUAGCCAAGCCGCCCUAAAUUUUUCCCCACCGAUGACGCAACCCGAUCACCCUCUCUAUUCCCCCACCUUCACGCGCCUUUCUUCAUACCGGCGACCUACUCUCUCUCUUCAUCCUUUUUCCCCCCUUUCCCUCUAACCCUAAUUUCUCUCUUCCGAUCAAAAACCAAUGGGCGACCUUAUCACCGCCGAUUCCGGCACCCCCAACCCCACCUCCGCCACCACCCGCCGCGCUCCCCCCCCCACCCCCACCCCCGCCACCACCCGCCCCGUUCCGAUCCGGGAAGACUGCUGGAGCGAAGAAGCCACCGCGACUCUCGUCGAAGCCUGGGGUAACCGCUACCUGGAGCUCAACCGCGGCAACCUCCGCCAGAAGGACUGGAAGGACGUCGCCGACGCCG
This 925-nucleotide long non-coding RNA is filed under the name Linum usitatissimum (flax). Its description in RNAcentral is "long non-coding RNA (LUSI_LNC007942)". Lineage: Eukaryota; Viridiplantae; Streptophyta; Magnoliopsida; Malpighiales; Linaceae. The record is from RNAcentral.